RNAcentral lists this ribosomal RNA (121 nucleotides) under Oncorhynchus mykiss (rainbow trout). The record is from RNAcentral. Lineage: Eukaryota; Metazoa; Chordata; Actinopteri; Salmoniformes; Salmonidae.
GCUUACGGCCACACCGGCCUGAGUACGCCCUGAUCUCGUCUGAUCUCGGAAGCUAAGCAGGGUCGGGCCUUGGUUAGUACUUGGAUGGGAGACCGCCUAGGAAUACCAGGUGCUGUAAGCU